AGCUGCUCGCCCAGAGGCUGAAGGAGCAGAGGGACCGCCGGAGUGAGAGCUUGGCGAAGAGGAGGUCCAAGCUUUCUUCCGCCGCCAAGGCCUCCGCUGCCACCUCCGCUUAAGAUUGUAUGGAGCUUGAGAGAUGUUUGAAUGCCUACCUAAGCUAUAGUUGAAGAACCCUCAUGUUCUGUGUUGGAUCAGUCGACCCCCUACCCUUUAGCUUUCUCGAGUGCAAUUUUGCAUGAACAUGCUGCUGGCUUGUCGGAAUUUUUCCAGUACUGGAGAUUUACCAUGUUGGUUUCUAUUGUGAAAGUUUCAGAUAGCUUUAUUACUUUGCACACCGUCAUAUGUCAACCUUCUG
This 352-nucleotide long non-coding RNA is filed under the name Setaria italica (foxtail millet). RNAcentral describes it as "long non-coding RNA (SITA_LNC001671)". The record is from RNAcentral. Lineage: Eukaryota; Viridiplantae; Streptophyta; Magnoliopsida; Poales; Poaceae.